UACGGGGGGGGCAAGCGUUGUUCGGAAUUACUGGGCGGAAAGGGCUCGUAGGUGGCCAACUAAGUCAGACGUGAAAUCCCCAGGCUUAACCUGGGAACUGCGUCUGAUACUGGAUGGCUUGAAUUCGGGAGAGGGAUGCAGAAUUCCAGGUGUAGCGGUGAAAUGCGUAGAUAUCUGGAGGAAUACCGGUGGCGAAGGCGGCAUCCUGGACCGAGAUUGACACUGAUGAGCGAAAGCUAGGGGAGCAAACGGG
Molecule: ribosomal RNA, 253 nt
Filed under: uncultured bacterium
Lineage: Bacteria
Description: partial 16S ribosomal RNA
Rfam family: Bacterial small subunit ribosomal RNA
Source: RNAcentral